RNAcentral lists this ribosomal RNA (2921 nucleotides) under Staphylococcus aureus F82600. RNAcentral's name for it is "bacterial LSU rRNA". It matches the Rfam family "Bacterial large subunit ribosomal RNA". The record is from RNAcentral. Lineage: Bacteria; Bacillati; Bacillota; Bacilli; Caryophanales; Staphylococcaceae.
UUAAGUUAUUAAGGGCGCACGGUGGAUGCCUUGGCACUAGAAGCCGAUGAAGGACGUUACUAACGACGAUAUGCUUUGGGGAGCUGUAAGUAAGCUUUGAUCCAGAGAUUUCCGAAUGGGGAAACCCAGCAUGAGUUAUGUCAUGUUAUCGAUAUGUGAAUACAUAGCAUAUCAGAAGGCACACCCGGAGAACUGAAACAUCUUAGUACCCGGAGGAAGAGAAAGAAAAUUCGAUUCCCUUAGUAGCGGCGAGCGAAACGGGAAGAGCCCAAACCAACAAGCUUGCUUGUUGGGGUUGUAGGACACUCUAUACGGAGUUACAAAGGACGACAUUAGACGAAUCAUCUGGAAAGAUGAAUCAAAGAAGGUAAUAAUCCUGUAGUCGAAAAUGUUGUCUCUCUUGAGUGGAUCCUGAGUACGACGGAGCACGUGAAAUUCCGUCGGAAUCUGGGAGGACCAUCUCCUAAGGCUAAAUACUCUCUAGUGACCGAUAGUGAACCAGUACCGUGAGGGAAAGGUGAAAAGCACCCCGGAAGGGGAGUGAAAUAGAACCUGAAACCGUGUGCUUACAAGUAGUCAGAGCCCGUUAAUGGGUGAUGGCGUGCCUUUUGUAGAAUGAACCGGCGAGUUACGAUUUGAUGCAAGGUUAAGCAGUAAAUGUGGAGCCGUAGCGAAAGCGAGUCUGAAUAGGGCGUUUAGUAUUUGGUCGUAGACCCGAAACCAGGUGAUCUACCCUUGGUCAGGUUGAAGUUCAGGUAACACUGAAUGGAGGACCGAACCGACUUACGUUGAAAAGUGAGCGGAUGAACUGAGGGUAGCGGAGAAAUUCCAAUCGAACCUGGAGAUAGCUGGUUCUCUCCGAAAUAGCUUUAGGGCUAGCCUCAAGUGAUGAUUAUUGGAGGUAGAGCACUGUUUGGACGAGGGGCCCCUCUCGGGUUACCGAAUUCAGACAAACUCCGAAUGCCAAUUAAUUUAACUUGGGAGUCAGAACAUGGGUGAUAAGGUCCGUGUUCGAAAGGGAAACAGCCCAGACCACCAGCUAAGGUCCCAAAAUAUAUGUUAAGUGGAAAAGGAUGUGGCGUUGCCCAGACAACUAGGAUGUUGGCUUAGAAGCAGCCAUCAUUUAAAGAGUGCGUAAUAGCUCACUAGUCGAGUGACACUGCGCCGAAAAUGUACCGGGGCUAAACAUAUUACCGAAGCUGUGGAUUGUCCUUUGGACAAUGGUAGGAGAGCGUUCUAAGGGCGUUGAAGCAUGAUCGUAAGGACAUGUGGAGCGCUUAGAAGUGAGAAUGCCGGUGUGAGUAGCGAAAGACGGGUGAGAAUCCCGUCCACCGAUUGACUAAGGUUUCCAGAGGAAGGCUCGUCCGCUCUGGGUUAGUCGGGUCCUAAGCUGAGGCCGACAGGCGUAGGCGAUGGAUAACAGGUUGAUAUUCCUGUACCACCUAUAAUCGUUUUAAUCGAUGGGGGGACGCAGUAGGAUAGGCGAAGCGUGCGAUUGGAUUGCACGUCUAAGCAGUAAGGCUGAGUAUUAGGCAAAUCCGGUACUCAUUAAGGCUGAGCUGUGAUGGGGAGAAGACAUUGUGUCUUCGAGUCGUUGAUUUCACACUGCCGAGAAAAGCCUCUAGAUAGAAAAUAGGUGCCCGUACCGCAAACCGACACAGGUAGUCAAGAUGAGAAUUCUAAGGUGAGCGAGCGAACUCUCGUUAAGGAACUCGGCAAAAUGACCCCGUAACUUCGGGAGAAGGGGUGCUCUUUAGGGUUAACGCCCAGAAGAGCCGCAGUGAAUAGGCCCAAGCGACUGUUUAUCAAAAACACAGGUCUCUGCUAAACCGUAAGGUGAUGUAUAGGGGCUGACGCCUGCCCGGUGCUGGAAGGUUAAGAAGAGUGGUUAGCUUCUGCGAAGCUACGAAUCGAAGCCCCAGUAAACGGCGGCCGUAACUAUAACGGUCCUAAGGUAGCGAAAUUCCUUGUCGGGUAAGUUCCGACCCGCACGAAAGGCGUAACGAUUUGGGCACUGUCUCAACGAGAGACUCGGUGAAAUCAUAGUACCUGUGAAGAUGCAGGUUACCCGCGACAGGACGGAAAGACCCCGUGGAGCUUUACUGUAGCCUGAUAUUGAAAUUCGGCACAGCUUGUACAGGAUAGGUAGGAGCCUUUGAAACGUGAGCGCUAGCUUACGUGGAGGCGCUGGUGGGAUACUACCCUAGCUGUGUUGGCUUUCUAACCCGCACCACUUAUCGUGGUGGGAGACAGUGUCAGGCGGGCAGUUUGACUGGGGCGGUCGCCUCCUAAAAGGUAACGGAGGCGCUCAAAGGUUCCCUCAGAAUGGUUGGAAAUCAUUCAUAGAGUGUAAAGGCAUAAGGGAGCUUGACUGCGAGACCUACAAGUCGAGCAGGGUCGAAAGACGGACUUAGUGAUCCGGUGGUUCCGCAUGGAAGGGCCAUCGCUCAACGGAUAAAAGCUACCCCGGGGAUAACAGGCUUAUCUCCCCCAAGAGUUCACAUCGACGGGGAGGUUUGGCACCUCGAUGUCGGCUCAUCGCAUCCUGGGGCUGUAGUCGGUCCCAAGGGUUGGGCUGUUCGCCCAUUAAAGCGGUACGCGAGCUGGGUUCAGAACGUCGUGAGACAGUUCGGUCCCUAUCCGUCGUGGGCGUAGGAAAUUUGAGAGGAGCUGUCCUUAGUACGAGAGGACCGGGAUGGACAUACCUCUGGUGUACCAGUUGUCGUGCCAACGGCAUAGCUGGGUAGCUAUGUGUGGACGGGAUAAGUGCUGAAAGCAUCUAAGCAUGAAGCCCCCCUCAAGAUGAGAUUUCCCAACUUCGGUUAUAAGAUCCCUCAAAGAUGAUGAGGUUAAUAGGUUCGAGGUGGAAGCAUGGUGACAUGUGGAGCUGACGAAUACUAAUCGAUCGAAGACUUAAUCAA